UGGAUAUCCAUGCCGUGGCUUGAGCCAAAGAGCCAGCUAGCUCAUUGCCAGCCAGCUGGCUGCUCGGCUUCCGUUCCAUUCUGCCGAGUUUGUUGCACGCUACAUUAUUUCAACGCCUGCCGUGCCGUAUGUAUGUACUUUUUGAAAACACAAUUUUUCUCCGACAUCGCAAAGACCGCGAUAAGAACGUGUGAACUGUGAUUGCGGGCUUUCGCGGUGUUCAUCCUGCGUCAUCAGAAAGUCUCACUGUCGGCAGCACUACUGAGGCGUCAUCGCUUUCAUCUUGGGAAGACUCAAGUUGGGCCUGGAACAUCGUUAUCUACGAAAUUCCAAAAAUUGGGUCCAUACCUUAAAAGGAGCACCAACCGAAAAAGUAUGCCUUGGACUUCACAGAACUGAAUGCGCUUCCCUGCUGAAUUGCUGUGGUCAUUCCGCUUCAGGGCCGAUGUCAUCAAGUAUCCAACAACACGUGCAAGUUGGGACGUCGCUACCACCGCCAUCAGCAUGGGAGAACGAACCCCAUUAUGAUGCUACGCUUCGCCCGUCAUGCCCGGAGGACCCUUUUGGAGCACCAGCGACAUCUCGCAUGUCAGCGAGACUUCAUGAAAGGCUGAGCGUGACCCAUGCGCGCUUCACUAGGCUUGGUGGAACCAUUCGGAGCACCAUGCUAAACUGCGUGUUCUUCGUUCAACAGGUUGGUGAUAAAAGGUUCUUUAUUAAUUGCAAUAAAACUAGUUAUGUGAGGCUACUUGUGCUACUUGUGCCCUGUUGCAACUCGGGCUCGGUGGUUCUCAUCAUUGGUAGCUGGCUACCCCAUCGGACUCGUGCCUUACAACGAGGAGCAACACUUGUAUGGGAAAACAGGAUAAAGAUGUUUAUUUACAUUAAAGAGAGGUCAACA
Molecule: long non-coding RNA, 901 nt
Filed under: Rhipicephalus microplus (southern cattle tick)
Lineage: Eukaryota; Metazoa; Arthropoda; Arachnida; Ixodida; Ixodidae
Description: uncharacterized LOC119176489, transcript variant X3
Source: RNAcentral